Thalassophryne amazonica is the source of this 222-nucleotide long non-coding RNA. RefSeq lists it as uncharacterized. The record is from RefSeq and is a predicted model, not a curated record. Lineage: Eukaryota; Metazoa; Chordata; Actinopteri; Batrachoidiformes; Batrachoididae. The transcript is spliced from 2 exons.
GAGAUGACCUGCAGACCAAUAACAAGAAGCUAGAAAGACUUAACUCCAAACUGACCCAAAACAUGAGCCAAUUAAAGGCUGAGAAAGACAACUUGAAGGCCAUUAACAGGAACCUCAGCCAAGAAAAAAAAGGAAUUACAGACACAGCUUUCAAAGGCGUUGGCAGAUGUAUGUGCUUAUGGGAACAGUUUUGGUGGCAGUUGUUAUUUGUUCUCCAUCACA